RNAcentral lists this microRNA (24 nucleotides) under Amborella trichopoda. Its description in RNAcentral is "atr-miR8559". Lineage: Eukaryota; Viridiplantae; Streptophyta; Magnoliopsida; Amborellales; Amborellaceae. The record is from miRBase by way of RNAcentral.
UGACACUGUAGUAGUCAACCCGUG